UAUCCGCCUACGUCCUACGGGAGAAAGCAGGGGACCUUCGGGCCUUGCGCUAUCAGAUGAGCCUAGGUCGGAUUAGCUAGUAGGUGAGGUAAUGGCUCACCUAGGCGACGAUCCGUAACUGGUCUGAGAGGAUGAUCAGUCACACUGGAACUGAGACACGGUCCAGACUCCUACGGGAGGCAGCAGUGGGGAAUAUUGGACAAUGGGCGAAAGCCUGAUCCAGCCAUGCCGCGUGUGUGAAGAAGGUCUUCGGAUUGUAAAGCACUUUAAGUUGGGAGGAAGGGCAGUAAGUUAAUACCUUGCUGUUUUGACGUUACCAACAGAAUAAGCACCGGCUAACUUCGUGCCAGCAGCCGCGGUAAUACGAAGGGUGCAAGCGUUAAUCGGAAUUACUGGG
This 397-nucleotide ribosomal RNA is filed under the name Aquipseudomonas alcaligenes. Its description in RNAcentral is "bacterial SSU rRNA". It matches the Rfam family "Bacterial small subunit ribosomal RNA", at positions 166 to 558 of the family's 1533-position model. Lineage: Bacteria; Pseudomonadati; Pseudomonadota; Gammaproteobacteria; Pseudomonadales; Pseudomonadaceae. The record is from RNAcentral.